CAGUCGCCGCGGUAAUACGUAGGUGGCAAGCGUUGUCCGGAAUUAUUGGGCGUAAAGCGCGUGCAGGCGGAUCGGUCAGUCUGUCUUAAAAGUUCGGGGCUUAACCCCGUGAUGGGAUGGAAACUGCCAAUCUAGAGUAUCGGAGAGGAAAGUGGAAUUCCUAGUGUAGCGGCGAAGUGCGUAGAUAUUAGGAAGAACACCAGUGGCGAAGGCGACUUUCUGGACUGUAACUGACGCUGAGGCUCGAAAGCCAGGGGAGCGAACGGGAUUAGAUACCCCGGUAGUCCCUGUCUCUUAUACA
This 301-nucleotide ribosomal RNA is filed under the name uncultured bacterium. RNAcentral describes it as "partial 16S ribosomal RNA". It matches the Rfam family "Bacterial small subunit ribosomal RNA", at positions 509 to 809 of the family's 1533-position model. The record is from RNAcentral.